UCCGCGGCUUCAUUCUUGAAGUCAGUGAGACGAAGAACCCACCAAUUCCAGACACAUUUUGGCGACCUAGAUGGGACAAUCGCCUAUCACCGAGUGGUGAGACCAUCGCCUAUAGCUGAGCGGCGAGACAAUCACCUAUCGCCAAGCAAAUGAGCAAACAGUUGUCUUCACCAUCCCAGACAAGCAGAUGAAUGGUGAAACGAUACAGCAGAGAAAGAGAGAAGAGGAACAUUUGAACGCCGAGAGGAGUUCAGCCGAGGGUGGUCGGAGAGGUUUGGCCACCCAGCAGGAAGAUUAUCUUCCCGUGCCAUCCCCGCUUCCAGCUCUGCAUCCAUCCUUCAGAGAACCACCUCCACCACUCAAUAAAACCCUGCAUUCAACCUUCAA
This 387-nucleotide long non-coding RNA is filed under the name Homo sapiens (human). Its description in RNAcentral is "HSALNT0315236". Lineage: Eukaryota; Metazoa; Chordata; Mammalia; Primates; Hominidae. The record is from RNAcentral.